Long non-coding RNA from Phyllostomus discolor (pale spear-nosed bat), 78 nucleotides. RefSeq lists it as uncharacterized. Lineage: Eukaryota; Metazoa; Chordata; Mammalia; Chiroptera; Phyllostomidae. The record is from RefSeq and is a predicted model, not a curated record. The transcript is spliced from 3 exons.
GAAUAAUAACUGCGUGAUGGGCAUGGUAAUUAGCUUGAUUGUAGUAUUCUUCCACAAUGUACAUGUAUAUCAAAGCAU